Molecule: small nucleolar RNA, 106 nt
Organism: Zingiber officinale
Lineage: Eukaryota; Viridiplantae; Streptophyta; Magnoliopsida; Zingiberales; Zingiberaceae
Source: RefSeq, a predicted model, not a curated record
AAACCAUGAUGAGGACAUUAUCGCAAUAAACUCUUAAAUCUGUCUCAUGCUUCAAAUAUUGGUUCCCUAUUUUUCUAAACAAAUUUUUGGAUACACAAUUCUGCUU